RNAcentral lists this ribosomal RNA (460 nucleotides) under uncultured bacterium. RNAcentral's name for it is "partial 16S ribosomal RNA". It matches the Rfam family "Bacterial small subunit ribosomal RNA", at positions 338 to 795 of the family's 1533-position model. The record is from RNAcentral.
CCUACGGGUGGCAGCAGUGAGGAAUAUUGGUCAAUGGACGCAAGUCUGAACCAGCCAUGCCGCGUGCAGGAUGACGGCUCUAUGAGUUGUAAACUGCUUUUGUACGAGGGUAAACCCCGAUACGUGUAUCGUAUUGACAGUAUCGUACGCAUACGGAUCGGCUCCCUCCGUGCCAGCAGCCGCGGGAAUACGGAGGAUCCGAGCGUUAGCCGGAUUUAUUGGGUUUAAAGGGUGCGUAGGGGGUUUGAUAAGUUAGAGGUGAAAUGUCGGGGCGCAACCCCAAACCUGCCUCUAAUACUGUUGGAUGAGAGAAUAGUUGCGGUAGGGGGAAUGUAUGGUGUAGCGGUGAAAUGCUUAGAGAUCAUACAGAACACCGAUUGCGAAGGCAGCUUACCAAACUAUAUCUGACGUUGAGGCACGAAAGCGUGGGUAGCAAACAGGAUUAGAUACCCGAGUAGUC